UACAGAGGUGGCAAGCGUUGUUCGGAAUUACUGGGCGUAAAGGGCGCGUAGGCGGUUCGUUAAGUCCUGUGUGAAAUCCCCCGGCUCAACUGGGGAACUGCACAGGAAACUAGCGGGCUUGAGUUCGGGAGAGGGAAGCGGAAUUCCUGGUGUAGCGGUGAAAUGCGCAGAUAUCAGGAAGAACACCUAUGGCGAAGGCAGCUCUCUGGGACGGUACUGACGCUGAGACGCGAAAGCGUGGGGAGCGAACAGG
This 253-nucleotide ribosomal RNA is filed under the name uncultured bacterium. Its description in RNAcentral is "partial 16S ribosomal RNA". It matches the Rfam family "Bacterial small subunit ribosomal RNA", at positions 524 to 776 of the family's 1533-position model. The record is from RNAcentral.